GACGAACGCUGGCGGCGUGCUUAACACAUGCAAGUCGUACGGUAAGGCCCUUUCGGGGGUACACGAGUGGCGAACGGGUGAGUAACACGUGAGUAACCUGCCCACAACUUUGGGAUAACGCUAGGAAACUGGUGCUAAUACUGGAUAUGUUCUCCUGCUGCAUGGUGGGGGUUGGAAAGCUCCGGCGGUUGUGGAUGGACUCGCGGCCUAUCAGCUUGUUGGUGGGGUAGUGGCCUACCAAGGCGGCGACGGGUAGCCGGCCUGAGAGGGUGACCGGCCACAUUGGGACUGAGAUACGGCCCAGACUCCUACGGGAGGCAGCAGUGGGGAAGAUUGCACAAGGGGCGCAAGCCUGAUGCAGCAACGCCGCGUGCGGGAUGACGGCCUUCGGGUUGUAAACCGCUUUCAGCAGGGACGAAGCUUUUUGUGACGGUACCUGCAGAAGAAGCACCGGCUAACUACGUG
Molecule: ribosomal RNA, 465 nt
Filed under: uncultured bacterium
Lineage: Bacteria
Description: partial 16S ribosomal RNA
Rfam family: Bacterial small subunit ribosomal RNA
Source: RNAcentral